CAUCGCAGGAACGGCGAACCGCUAAGCGCAAAUCUACCCUCAUCAACUCACAGACGGACGAUGACGCGCGCACCGCCGUGAUUCAGAAGCAAGCUUGUAUGCAUAUACGUGUGUGUGUGUCCCAGAAUUGGUACCUGUCGAGGAGAGUCUCUCUCACUCUCCACCCCUCCCUCGCCUCCCCCCCACUCGCUCGCUGUCGCCGCGAAGUUGGUGAAAUGAUGUGGUGGUCGCGAGGGUCUGAGGGCGACAAGGCAAGCUCUGUGCCUGCGAACGCACAGACUACGCAGGAUGUGCUUGCAUCCAUCUUUACGCCGGCCAAUCGCGCACUUGCGCCACCGAGCGCCUCUGUCGACGGCAGUGACGUGAGGAGCGCUGCGUCGUCGUCGAGCGUUGUGCACACGGCAUCCGCCAAGGCGCGCUCAUCAGCAGCACCACCCGAAGGGACAGCACCGGCGAUCUUGGGAAGCCGUCACGAAGGCGUGGAUGCGAGCGAAAGCCCGACUACGUGGUGGACAAGCCUCGGCAAGUGGCGGUCGUCCACGCCGCUACCGCGCAGCGUCGAUGCAUCCGCACCAAAGUCGGCACUCUCCUCUACUACGAUAAGCACAAGCCCUAUGCGCGCCUCCGAGAUCGCAGACAAGGCAGCGGUCGGUGCUGCUACAGCCAUGGAUGCUGUAUCGUGGCAGACACUCCCCGACUGCCCACUGGCCGGCUACAAGCUCACAUGUCAGGGUUUGGUCGACAGGCUGACUAAGCCACCGCGCACACUCACCGCGACGGAGCUGCGGAGUUUGAUCAAGGAGCUUACAGCGGUGGAGCAGCAGGCCAAGUACAACGUGGACCGGCAGUUCAGUAGUCACAUUGGCAGUCGCGGCCUGCAUGGGUUGGAGCUGCUCAUCAACCCAGGCCUUUGGUUCACGUCCAUCUAUCUGAUGACGUGGAAGACGGCGCGGCUCUACCACAACGCUCUGCCGCAGAAUUCGGUGUUGUUCACUCGGCUGCUCGCAUUGAUGCGGCUCCGCAUGCCGGUGGAGCAGCGGGAGCUCGUGGCGCAACGGCACCAACGGCUGAUGCGAGCCACCAACGCGCGAGUCAGUCUGUCCUUCCUGAGCGGUGUCGCUCUCUUCGCGUUGGCGUGGGUGUCGCAGCCGCCAGCCAACGUCAUGGAAGAGGCAUCUGACGUGCAGAUAGCCAAGGAGUUGAUCGGCUACCAGCGCCACCUCGAGGCAUCGUUGAAAUGGUGCUGGUACGUGUACUACCACCACCCUGCCUACUCAUCAGCGAGUGGGGGCAACGAUAAGAGGAGCAGUAGGUAAGGCAAGCCACCCUUCGUGUCUCUGCCUCUCUGUGUGGCGAGCGGCAUUCGGCGAGAGGUAUGGAAUCAAAGAAGAGGGUAGAGGCCUGAUAGCGGCGAGGGUUCAUGGCCGUCGAUUGGUGACUGCGACAUCAUCACAGACGUGCACGCGUGCACGACGAGUGCGGUAGACAGAAACAGCAAGCGCGAGAAGAUCAGAUUGCCAUGUGGCGGGGUGCACCAGGCACAUACUCGCCGAGCGAGAGAGGGAUUACAGCGGGGAAGAGCAAGUGAGGUGGGAGGAACACCGGUGAAGAUGAUCGGCGGUGCCCACUCCGUUAUCGUGACCCCUCUCUUCUCCCCCACACGUGCACAUGCGUUUUUCUGUGUCGUUCGCAAGUGAAAAACAACGGGAGUCGAGCAUCCCCACAUCAACAUCACCGGCGACGUGUCGUCAAGGCACCGUACCACACGAGCACACUUCUAACAGAAAAGGUGGAACGCUCACAUACACGUGCAGAGAGUCUCGCAUCUGCGCACCUUCAGCACGACGUGGGUGCGCGCGUGUACACCUCCACCACCGCUUUUUUUUUCUUUCUCUCUGUUGCACUUAG
This 1908-nucleotide unclassified non-coding RNA is filed under the name Leishmania donovani. Its description in RNAcentral is "gene:LdHU3.24.2470(CDS-product:hypothetical_prote in_conserved)". The record is from RNAcentral. Lineage: Eukaryota; Euglenozoa; Kinetoplastea; Trypanosomatida; Trypanosomatidae.